This 2871-nucleotide ribosomal RNA is filed under the name Scytonema sp. UIC 10036. Its description in RNAcentral is "23S ribosomal RNA". It matches the Rfam family "Bacterial large subunit ribosomal RNA". The record is from RNAcentral. Lineage: Bacteria; Bacillati; Cyanobacteriota; Cyanophyceae; Nostocales; Scytonemataceae.
GUGGUCAAGUGAAUUAGGGCUCAUGGUGGAUACCUAGGCACACAGAGGCGAAGAAGGACGUGGUUACCAACGAAAAGCUCCGGGGAGCAGGAAGCAUGCUUUGAGCCGGAGAUGUCCGAAUGGGGCAACCCAAAAACGAAAGAGCGAACCCAGUGAAUUGAAACAUCUUAGUAGCUGGAGGAAAAGAAAUCAACAGAGAUUCCCUAAGUAGUGGUGAGCGAAAGGGGAAGAGCCUAAACCAACAGGUUAACUUGUUGGGGUAGUGGGAAAGCAACAUCGAAUCUAGCGGUGAGACGAAGCAGCGAAAUACUGCACCAGAGAAGGUGAAAGUCCUGUAGUCAAAAACUCAAGGAUAGAAGCUUCAUCCCGAGUAGCAUGGGGCACGAGGAAUCCCAUGUGAAUCAGCGAGGACCAUCUCGUAAGGCUAAAUACUACUGUGUGACCGAUAGCGAACAAGUACCGCGAGGGAAAGGUGAAAAGAACCCCGUUGAGGGGAGUGAAAUAGAACAUGAAACCGUGAGCUGACAAGCAGUGGGAGUCCGAUUCAACGGAUGACCGCGUGCCUGUUGAAGAAUGAGCCGGCGAGUUAUAGGUACUGGUAGGUUAAGUCAAAGAUGAAGCCAAAGCGAAAGCGAGUCCGAAGAGGGCGAGAUAUCAGUAUUUAUAGACCCGAACCCGGGUGAUCUAACCAUGUCCAGGAUGAAGCUUGGGUAACACCAAGUGGAGGUCCGAACCGACCGAUGUUGAAAAAUCGGCGGAUGAGGUGUGGUUAGGGGUGAAAUGCCAAUCGAACUCGGAGCUAGCUGGUUCUCCCCGAAAUGUGUUGAGGCGCAGCGGUAACAGAAAAACUGAGGGGUAAAGCACUAUUUCGGUGCGGGCUGGGAGACCGGUACCAAAUCGAGAUAAACUCAGAAUACUCAGUGGAGAGUUACCAGUGAGACGGUGGGGGAUAAGCUUCAUCGUCAAGAGGGAAACAGCCCAGACCACCAGCUAAGGUCCCAAAAUCAUCGCUCAGUGGUAAAGGAGGUGGGAGUGCAUAGACAACCAGGAGGUUUGCCUAGAAGCAGCCAUCCUUGAAAGAGUGCGUAAUAGCUCACUGGUCAAGCGCUCCUGCGCCGAAAAUGAAUGGGACUAAGCGAUGUACCGAAGCUGUGGAAUAGAAAAGAUGAAUUAUGAAUUAUGAAUUAUGAAUGGCGAAAAAACAAUUCAUAAUUUAUUAUUCAUAAUUCAUCAUUGUCUGUUGGUAGGGGAGCGUUCCGUGAUAGGUAGAAGCAGUAGCGGCAAGCAGCUGUGGACGAGACGGAAGUGAGAAUGUCGGCUUGAGUAGCGCAAACUAGGGUAAGAAUCCCUAGCCCCGAAACCCCAAGGGUUCCAGAGGCAGGUUCGUCCACUCUGGGUUAGUCGGGACCUAAGGCGAGGCUGAAAAGCGUAGUCGAUGGACAUCGGGUGAACAAUCCCGAACUUUGAUGUGGGAGCAGAGAUAAAUCGCAUGAAAAAUAGCAACGCCCUGAAUGGAUUGGGAGGUGUCUAAGGAUGCCGAGUUGUGAAAGAUAGUGCCAAGAAAAGUUAUGGCUGUGAUGAAAACAUCAAACCCGUACUCGAAACCGACACAGGUGGGGAAGUUGAGAAAACUCAGGGGCGCGAGAUAACUCUCUCUAAGGAACUCGGCAAAAUGGCCCCGUAACUUCGGAAGAAGGGGUGCCCACGAAAGUGGGUCGCAGUGAAGAGAUCCAGGCGACUGUUUACCAAAAACACAGGUCUCCGCAAACAAGCAAUUGGAAGUAUGGGGGCUGACGCCUGCCCAGUGCCGGAAGGUUAAGGAAGUUGGUCAGGGGGUUUCCCUAAAGCUGACGACUGAAGCCCCGGUGAACGGCGGCCGUAACUAUAACGGUCCUAAGGUAGCGAAAUUCCUUGUCGGGUAAGUUCCGACCCGCACGAAAGGCGUAACGAUCUGGAUGGUGUCUCAGAGAGAGACUCGGCGAAAUAGGAAUGUCUGUGAAGAUACGGACUACCUGCACCAGGACAGAAAGACCCUAUGAAGCUUUACUGUAGUCUGGAAUUGGGUCCGGGCUUGGCUUGCGCAGGAUAGGUGGGAGGCGUGGAGAUACCCCUUGUGGGGGGUAUGGAGCCAACGGUGAGAUACCACCCCCGCGAAGCUAGGAUUCUAACCCACGAUUGUGAAUCCAAUCGGGAGACAGUUUCAGAUGGGCAGUUUGACUGGGGCGGUCGCCUCCUAAAAGGUAACGGAGGCGCACAAAGGUUCCCUCAGCACGCUUGGAAACCGUGCGUUGAGUGCAAAGGCAAUAAGGGAGCUUGACUGUUAGACCAACAAGUCUCACAGGGUGGAAACACGGUCUUAGUGAUCCGACGGCACAGAAUGGAAUGGCCGUCGCUCAACGGAUAAAAGUUACUCUAGGGAUAACAGGCUGAUCUCCCCCAAGAGUCCACAUCGACGGGGAGGUUUGGCACCUCGAUGUCGGCUCAUCGCAACCUGGGGCGGAAGUACGUCCCAAGGGUUGGGCUGUUCGCCCAUUAAAGCGGUACGUGAGCUGGGUUCAGAACGUCGUGAGACAGUUCGGUCCAUAUCCGGUGCAGGCGCAAGAGCAUUGAGAGGAGUCCUCCUUAGUACGAGAGGACCGGGAGGAACGCACCGCUGGUGUACCAGUUAUCACGCCCGUGGUAGACGCUGGGUAGCCAAGUGUGGAGCGGAUAACCGCUGAAAGCAUCUAAGUGGGAAGCCCACCUCAAGAUGAGUGCUCUGACUAGUUUAACUAGGUAAGGUCACAGGUAGAACACCUGUUCAUAGGCAGUCGGUGUACGUGCAGUAAUGUACUUAGCCUAGCUGUCCUAACAGACCGAGGACUUGACCUC